Paramuricea clavata is the source of this 590-nucleotide non-coding RNA. NCBI's taxonomy places the organism in Eukaryota, Metazoa, Cnidaria, Anthozoa, Malacalcyonacea, Plexauridae. The record is from the annotation of a GenBank genome assembly.
AUAAAUUCGAGAGGGAAGGUGAGUGCCACUUAUUUACAGCCAUCAGCUUUUGCAGUAAGUCUGUAAUUGGCUGCUGUUGUUCCACGACUUUUCAAGUAGAAAAUCAUUAAAGUGUUAAAGAAUCGCCUGUUUUUAUCAUAUUUUUUCUGAGAAACAACCAGCAGUUUCUUGUUAAAGUAUCGUGUGAUCUGAUGUGAGUGGUAUUAACAAUUUAACAUGCAUAUUUGUGUCGCUGUAAUUAUUAUCGAGUUUUAAAUAUUUGUGCAAUAUGGCAACUUUAGAUUACGCUUGUUUUAGCCCAGUAAUUUACAUAAUAUUUUUCAAAUACAACUUUGGUACUCUGUGAGUAUAAAUAGGCCGGUUUUUAUGUGAUAUUUACUAACAUAAGCACCUUUUUUACAGGUUUGUUUGAUACUCUUAAGCCGAAUUAAAUCUGAAGCGUGUUAGCGAAGCGAAGGACGAACUUGUGGCGAAAAAGAUGCCGCCUGUUCCUGGGGAAGGCUCAGACGUCAAGGCAUUUGUCGAAGAGGCUAUAAAAUCGCAUACUGUGACGGUUUUUGCUUUUUCAACAUGUCCUUUUUGCAAGAAGG